Molecule: transfer RNA, 72 nt
Filed under: Heterocephalus glaber (naked mole-rat)
Lineage: Eukaryota; Metazoa; Chordata; Mammalia; Rodentia; Bathyergidae
Rfam family: tRNA
About the family: Transfer RNA (tRNA) molecules are approximately 80 nucleotides in length. Their secondary structure includes four short double-helical elements and three loops (D, anti-codon, and T loops).
Source: Rfam by way of RNAcentral
GUGGAUGUGGCUCAGUGGUAGAGCACAUGCUUAGCAUGCAUGAGGACUUGGGUUCAAUCUCCAGCAGCAAAA